RNAcentral lists this ribosomal RNA (252 nucleotides) under uncultured bacterium. RNAcentral describes it as "partial 16S ribosomal RNA". It matches the Rfam family "Bacterial small subunit ribosomal RNA", at positions 524 to 776 of the family's 1533-position model. The record is from RNAcentral.
UACGGGGGGGGUAAGCGUUGUUCGGAAUUACUGGGCGUAAAGGGCUCGUAGGCGGCCAACUAAGUCGGACGUGGAAUCCCUCAGCUUAACUGGGGAACUGCGUCUGAUACUGGAUGGCUUGGAUUUGGGAGAGGGAUGCGGAAUUCCAGGUGUAGCGGUGAAAUGCGUAGAUAUCUGGAGGAACACCGGUGGCGAAGGCGGCAUCCUGGACCAACAUUGACGCUGAGGAGCGAAAGCCAGGGAGCAAACGGG